Molecule: ribosomal RNA, 492 nt
Filed under: uncultured bacterium
Lineage: Bacteria
Description: partial 16S ribosomal RNA
Rfam family: Bacterial small subunit ribosomal RNA
Source: RNAcentral
AGUGAACGCUGGCGGUAGGCCUAACACAUGCAAGUCGAACGGCAGCACAGUAAGAGCUUGCUCUUACGGGUGGCGAGUGGCGGACGGGUGAGGAAUACAUCGGAAUCUACUUUUUCGUGGGGGAUAACGUAGGGAAACUUACGCUAAUACCGCAUACGACCUACGGGUGAAAGCAGGGGAUCUUCGGACCUUGCGCGAUUGAAUGAGCCGAUGUCGGAUUAGCUAGUUGGCGGGGUAAAGGCCCACCAAGGCGACGAUCCGUAGCUGGUCUGAGAGGAUGAUCAGCCACACUGGAACUGAGACACGGUCCAGACUCCUACGGGAGGCAGCAGUGGGGAAUAUUGGACAAUGGGCGCAAGCCUGAUCCAGCCAUACCGCGUGGGUGAAGAAGGCCUUCGGGUUGUAGAGCCUUUUUGUUGGGAAAGAAAAGCAGCAGGUUAAUACCCCGCUGUUCUGACGGUACCCAAAGAAUAAGCACCGGCUAACUUCGUG